RNAcentral lists this long non-coding RNA (335 nucleotides) under Haliotis rufescens (red abalone). Its description in RNAcentral is "uncharacterized LOC124134956, transcript variant X2". The record is from RNAcentral. Lineage: Eukaryota; Metazoa; Mollusca; Gastropoda; Lepetellida; Haliotidae.
AGAUUUAUGACGUCGCCAUGACGACACUUCACUACUGAUAUCGCCAUUGUUAUCAUCAAACUGCUAUUAUCUUGCUACUGUUUUGCUGCCAUUUUCCUCGUAUUUCGCUCAUUUUCGUCUGUGUACACUAUGAGCUCCUACGCCCAAGCUGUUGACCUCGUGAUCAGGUUCCCCUUGAACUUUGACAUCUGGGCCCCUCCUCGCCAAGAAGAUCCGAAGCCAACCCCUCCACUCGCUAGUGGUGUAUCACUGAGAAGCCUUCGUCCCCAUCUGAUGUGUAUCGCGCCUGUUAUAAACACGUAUCAGUGAAACGUUUAAUAAAAUUCUGCUGUGAA